Molecule: ribosomal RNA, 1819 nt
Filed under: uncultured freshwater cercozoan
Lineage: Eukaryota; Cercozoa
Description: SSU rRNA
Rfam family: Eukaryotic small subunit ribosomal RNA
Source: RNAcentral
CUGGUUGAUCCUGCCAGUAGUCAUAUGCUCGUCUAAAAGAUUAAGCCAUGCACGUAUGAGUCUAACCAAUCAGACCGGGAAACUGCAGAUGGCUCAUUAAAUCAGUUUUUAUUCAUUUGAUGUUACCUUUACUACAUGGACAACUGUAGUAAUUCUAGAGCUAAUACAUGCGUCGAGUCCUGACUCUCUGAGGAGGGAUGUAUUUAUUAGAUAAAAAACCAACGCCCGCAAGGGCUGGUCGGUGAUUCCUAGUAACUAGUCGGAUCGCAUGGCCUCGUGCCGGCGACAGAUCAUUCAAAAUUCUGCCCUAUCAGCUUUCGACGGUAGUGUAGUGGACUACCGUGGCAGUGACGGGUGACGGAGAAUUAGGGUUCGAUUCCGGAGAGGGAGCCUGAGAAAUGGCUACCACAUCCAAGGAAGGCAGCAGGCGCGCAAAUUACCCAAUCCUAACACAGGGAGGUAGUGACAAGAAAUAACAAUACCGGGCCUUUACAGGUCUGGUAAUUGGAAUGAGUACAAUUUAAAUCCCUUUCACAAGGAUCGAUUGGAGGGCAAGUCUGGUGCCAGCAGCCGCGGUAAUUCCAGCUCCAAAAGCGUAUAUUAAAGUUGUUGCAGUUAAAAAGCUCGUAGUUGGAUUUCUGGCACGGUGCGCCUGGUCCGCGCCGCCCUCGUUGGUGGUGUGUGUACCGGUUCGCGCGCCUGCCAUCCUCGGACCGGGUGCGCGGCUUCCCUUCACUGGGCGGCCGCGUGUCAGCCCGCCGUCUUCUACUUUGAGUAAAUCGAGUGGUUCAAACAAGGCGUUGUCGCCGUGAACAGAUUAGCAUGGAAUAAUAAGAUAGGACUUGGGUUCUAUUUUGUUGGUUUCUAGGGCCGAAGUAAUGAUUGACAGGGACAGUUGGGGGGUGCUGGUAUUCACGGGGCCAGAGGUGAAAUUCUUGGAUUCCGUGAAGACCAACUUAUGCGAAAGCAUUCACCAAGGAUGUCUUCUUUAAUCAAGAACGAAAGUUGGGGGAUCGAAGACGAUCAGAUACCGUCGUAGUCUCAACCAUAAACGAUGCCGACUCGGGAUCGGUGGUUGUUGUUUUCAUGACACCAUCGGCACCGUGCGAGAAAUCACAAGUGUUUGGGUUCCGGGGGGAGUAUGGUCGCAAGUCUGAAACUUAAAGGAAUUGACGGAAGGGCACCACCAGGCGUGGAACUUGCGGCUUAAUUUGACUCAACACGGGAAAUCUUACCAGGAUCGGAUGAUAUAAGGAUUGACAGAUUGAAGUUCUUUCUUGAUUUAUCAGGUGGUGGUGCAUGGCCGUUCUUAGUUGGUGGAGUGAUUCGUCUGAUUAAUUUCGUCAACGAACGAGACCUCGGCCUACUAACUAGCUCGGCGCGCUGCUCGUCAGCGUGCCCCGCGGCUUCUUAGAGGGACGUUCGGUGCGUAGCCGAAGGAAGUUCGAGGCAAUAACAGGUCUGUGAUGCCCUUAGAUAUUCUGGGCUGCACGCGUGUUACACUGACGCAUUCAUCGAGCUCACCCUCCUCGGCCGACAGGCCCGGGUAAUCUCUGCAAAGUGCGUCGUGAUGGGGAUAGAUGAUUGAAAUUAUUCAUCUUCAACGAGGAAUGCCUAGUAAGCGCGAGUCAUCAGCUCGCAUUGAUUACGUCCCUGCCCUUUGUACACACCGCCCGUCGCUACUACCGAUUGAACGGUUUAGUGAGUCCCGCGGAGUGCUGCUGCCGGCCGCGAGGCUGGCGGUGAUGCGAAGCGGUUCAAACUUGGCUGUUUAGAGGAAGUAAAAGUCGUAACAAGGUUUCCGUAGGUGAACCUGCAG